RNAcentral lists this ribosomal RNA (253 nucleotides) under uncultured bacterium. RNAcentral describes it as "partial 16S ribosomal RNA". It matches the Rfam family "Bacterial small subunit ribosomal RNA", at positions 524 to 776 of the family's 1533-position model. The record is from RNAcentral.
UACAGAGGUCCCAAGCGUUGUUCGGAUUCACUGGGCGUAAAGGGUGCGUAGGUGGCGAGGUAAGUCGGAUGUGAAAGCUCCGAGCUCAACUCGGAAAUGGCAUUGGAAACUACCUUGCUCGAGGGUUUGAGGGGGGACUGGAAUACUUGGUGUAGCAGUGAAAUGCGUAGAUAUCAAGUGGAACACCAGUGGCGAAGGCGAGUCCCUGGACAAUUCCUGACACUGAGGCACGAAAGCUAGGGGAGCAAACAGG